Olea europaea var. sylvestris is the source of this 657-nucleotide long non-coding RNA. RefSeq lists it as uncharacterized. NCBI's taxonomy places the organism in Eukaryota, Viridiplantae, Streptophyta, Magnoliopsida, Lamiales, Oleaceae. The record is from RefSeq and is a predicted model, not a curated record. The transcript is spliced from 2 exons.
CAUUUUCUCUCAAAACCCCACGACGAUUUGACGAACUUCGUCUCUCUAAACCCAACGUCGAAGUCGAACGUCCACACUCCAGCGUCAGUGGUAGUCUGGUAGAAAAAUGCAAAUCUGCAAUAAACUUCAGGAAUUAAGAAUUGCUUGGCCAUUCUCAAUUUUGGGUGUGUUUUGAUCGACUUAAAGGGAAAUAUAUCUAUGCAUUCGCAAGUCCCUUGUACAAAAUAGGAAAAGGCUCUUCCCUGUAUUCGUUAUGGAUGCCCUUCUUUUAUUGAGUGGGUUGCUUUGAAUUGAAACCCUGGAUGUGAAGAGAUGCUGUUUCUGGAUAUUAGGUGUCAUGCCGAGUCUGAUUAGAAAAUUUCUGGUUUACAAAUAUGGAUUUAAGCUCGUGAAUUUUAGGGGCCUUUUGAUUUCUCUUGAGGUUGCCAAUAGUUAAUUCCUGGAGGUUGUACUGGGGAAGAAGUUAAACUAAUAACUAGUGGAGUGGGUCGAGUGGGAGGGGGAUUAAUGUAAAUGUAAUUCAUCCAAUUUAGUUAAACUAAUAACUAGUCACUUUGUUUCAGCCACAUAUAUAUAAUUGUUAUUGGAUAGUUAUUUGAUGGAUAUUUGGUGGACUAUACUAUUUUAUGUUUUAAAUUUAUUGAUGUUGGAAGACUA